AACAAGGCGUACCUGCGGACCUGCGGAAGGAUCAUUACCGAGUGUGAACCCCCCCGUAAAAAAGAGGGGUUACCUCCCGUCCUUUGCUGGGAACCCCUUUCCAACUUGGAAGGAGGUUGUUUUCAGACCCUUCUGCUUCGGUGGGGUAACCCACCGGAACAACCUCAAAAAUAUUCUCAAUUCAAAACCGUUCAGUCCGAGAACUUUUUUGAAAAGCGAAAAAACUUUCAGCAACGGAUC
RNAcentral lists this unclassified non-coding RNA (240 nucleotides) under soil metagenome. RNAcentral describes it as "partial contains 5.8S ribosomal RNA, internal transcribed spacer 2, and large subunit ribosomal RNA". The record is from RNAcentral.